Molecule: ribosomal RNA, 1211 nt
Filed under: uncultured Sebacina
Lineage: Eukaryota; Fungi; Basidiomycota; Agaricomycetes; Sebacinales; Sebacinaceae
Description: eukaryotic LSU rRNA
Rfam family: Eukaryotic large subunit ribosomal RNA (bases 570-1211)
Source: RNAcentral
UUCCGUAGGUGAACCUGCGGAAGGAUCAUUAACGAAUUUUAAGUCGGCCUUGCUGUGCUGGUGGAAACACAUGUGCACGCUCGGUCGCAAAUCCACACACCUGUGCAUCUAYGACUCGAGGUUGUCGUCGUAUGACCGAGAGUAACUUUUACACACUCUUGAAUGUAAAGGAAUGUUCAUGUGCAUAAUGUACAAUUAAACAACUUUCAACAACGGAUCUCUUGGCUCUCGCAUCGAUGAAGAACGCAGCGAAAUGCGAUAAGUAAUGUGAAUUGCAGAAUUCAGUGAAUCAUCGAAUCUUUGAACGCACCUUGCACCCUUUGGUAUUCCGAAGGGUACACCCGUUUGAGUGUCAUUGUAAUCUCACUUCUACAACUUUUUUGUUGUAAAAUGUGGACUUGGACRUCUGCCGUGUUUCAACGGCUCGUCUUAAAUGCCUGAGUGUACCCCGCUUUGCGGCGUAUUCGGUGUGAUAAAYAUUUCACCGGAGUUUGGUCUUUUGACCRCGCUUUUGCAAUUGGUGGGCUCUAUGCUUUCCAACYGUCCCYUGUGGACAAUCUUUGACAAUUUGACCUCAAAUCGGGUGGGACUACCCGCUGAACUUAAGCAUAUCAAUAAGCGGAGGAAAAGAAACUAACAAGGAUUCCCCUAGUAACGGCGAGUGAAGAGGGAAAAGCUCAAAUUUUGAAUCUGGYGUCUUUGACUCCCGAGUUGUAAUCUAGAGAAGUGUUUUCCGUGUCGGACCGCGUAYAAGUUCCCUGGAACGGGGCGUCAUAGAGGGUGAGAAUCCCGUAUAUGCCGYGGACUACCGAUGCUCUGUGAUACACUCUCAACGAGUCGAGUUGUUUGGGAAUGCAGCUCAAAAUGGGUGGUAAAUUCCAUCUAAAGCUAAAUAUUGGCGAGAGACCGAUAGCGAACAAGUACCGUGAGGGAAAGAUGAAAAGCACUUUGGAAAGAGAGUGAAACAGUACGUGAAAUUGUUGAAAGGGAAGCGUUUGAASUCAGUCAYGUUUGUUGGGAUUCAGCCUGGCUUCYGCCUGGUGUAUUUCCUAGCCGACGGGUCAGCAUCAGUUUUGACCAAGGGAAAAAGACAUUUGGAAUGUGGCUGUCUUCGGGCAGUGUUAUAGCCUUGUGUUGUAUGCCUUGGUUGGGACUGAGGAAUGCAGCGCGCCUUAUGGCCGGGGGUCGCUCCUCUCGACACGCGCUUAGGA